RNA transcript from Erpetoichthys calabaricus (reedfish), 4538 nucleotides. It is a transcript of the gene named MAPK activated protein kinase 5, with no coding region annotated. Lineage: Eukaryota; Metazoa; Chordata; Cladistia; Polypteriformes; Polypteridae. The record is from RefSeq and is a predicted model, not a curated record. The transcript is spliced from 15 exons.
GUGUUUGCAUCCCGGUGUCUCCUGCGCUUCAGAUCCCUUCAGGUUUUCGAGUCGUUUGGUGCUGCAGGCUGUGCCACCGUCGUAGUAUUUUGCUGUUUUCUUGUUUUAUUUUGUUUGUUUGUUCUUCUUGUCAGACAUGAGUACCAAGAGGACGAGCUUCCCCCGCUAAGCACAGUCUGUCUAAGCCCCUUUCCAAGCCUCUUCCUCCUGUACUUUGCCCUGACAAAGCGCGGCCGCGGUGCGUUUGCUGCCUGCUUGGUCGCCACCUCGUCCCCCUCGUUACGCCAACUGAUUACCCGCCUGUUCGGUUAGUCGGUGGGCCGGCCGGCCGGCCAGGAGGGAGGGAGUCCGCAUCACCCCUCAUCUAGAGAUCUGAAUCUCCUCUGCGGGGUCUCGUUUGCUUCUUCUCUCCCAACACCCAGCCGGGCUUCCUGCGGCUCUCCAUGUUGGCGGCAGUGGCCGCCUCGCUGGCUGCACUCAUCCGUUGGAGCCGCGGCGCUUUGCUGGCCAAACUGUCGGUCAGCUGGCAGGAGGGGGUUCGCCGCGUUACCGGAGUCAUGGACUGUCGUCCUCUUUAGUAGUCACUUAGUCGCUGGGAAACGAGAAGAUUUCCUCCGAGCAGGUCGGGUUGCUCCCAGUUGAACAGAGGCGGCGGAGGCACCUCGGGACACCGCAUCACGCGAAGGCGGCGAGGGCAGCGAAGAAGAGCCAUGUCGGAGGACAACAAUGUGGACAGAUUCAUCAAGGAGACCUCCAUCUUAGAGGAGUACAACAUCAACUGGACACAGAAGCUGGGUGCUGGGAUCAGUGGGCCUGUCAGGGUUUGCGUGAAGAAGUCAACGCAGGAGCGGUUUGCACUCAAGAUCCUCAUCGACCGGCCCAAAGCCCGUAAUGAGGUACGACUCCACAUGAUGUGUGCAAUUCAUCCAAACAUCGUACAGAUUGUGGAAGUCUACGCCAACAGCGUGCAAUUCCCUCACGAGUCCAGUCCACGGGCCCGGCUGCUUAUCGUGAUGGAGAUGAUGGAAGGUGGAGAGCUGUUUCACAGAAUCAGCCAACACAGACACUUUACAGAAAAAAUGGCCAGCCAAGUAACCAAACAGAUUGCUCAGGCUCUCCAGCACUGUCACUCACUAAACAUCGCUCACAGAGACCUCAAGCCCGAGAACCUGCUCUUCAAAGACAAUUCUUUGGAUGCUCCGGUUAAGCUCUGUGAUUUUGGGUUUGCCAAAAUUGACCAGGGUGACUUGAUGACACCCCAGUUCACGCCUUACUACGUAGCACCUCAGGUCCUGGAGGCUCAGAGGAGACAUCAAAAAGAGAAGUCUGGAAUAAUACCUACCUCACCCACUCCGUACACGUACAACAAAAGCUGUGACUUGUGGUCCUUGGGCGUGAUCAUCUACGUGAUGCUGUGCGGAUAUCCACCAUUUUACUCCAAACACCACAGCCGCACCAUCCCUAAGGACAUGCGCAAGAAGAUCAUGACGGGAAGCUUUGAGUUUCCCGAAGACGAAUGGAGCCAGAUCUCUGAGAUGGCUAAGGACAUUGUGAGAAAGCUGCUAAAAGUAAAACCUGAAGAGAGACUUACCAUUGAGGAGGUGCUGGCUCACCCCUGGUUAAACUGCACAGAAGCUUUGGACAAUAUUCUUCCAUCGGCACAGAUGAUGAUGGAUAAGGCUGUGGUGGCUGGGAUUCAGCAGGCCCACGCCGAACAGCUCGCCAACAUGAGGAUCCAAGAUCUGAAUGUGAGCCUCAAGCCUCUCAACUCUGUCAACAACCCGAUCCUGCGCAAACGCAAGCUGCUGGGCACAAAACCCAAGGAUGGCUUCUUCAUCCAUGACCCAGAGAAUGGGACGGAAGACUCUAAUGUGGCCUUGGAGAAGCUGAGGGACGUCAUCGCACAGUGCAUCCUGCCCCAGGCUGGAGAGAACGAAGACGAGAAGCUGAACGAGGUGAUGCGCGAGGCGUGGACGUUCAACAAGGACUGCAAGCUGCUGCGAGACACGCUUCAGAGUCUCAGCUGGAACGGGUGGACUUUCUCAGACAAAGUUGACCGUUUGAAACUGGCGGAAAUCGUGAAGCAGGUCAUUGAGGAGAAAACCAACCUGCAGGAUUCCCAGUAGCAAAAGUCUCCUGGUUUUAAUAACGUUUUAAUCUGUACGAAAAGAAAGUGUUAACUGAGAAGAGAAUUUUUAUGGUAUUUACGGAAGACGCUCCCUUGAUGGAUUUUGCUUUCGGCGGUUGUACAGCUGUAGAUGUUGGUACUGUAAUAUUUAACAAAAAGAAAAGGAAAACCUUGAACUCAAGGAAUGGCGUUUGCUUUGUCACCGGAAUGCUGCGUCCUCAAGCACUCGAUGGCUGACGGGAGCCUAGAGGACUGUCCGUAGCGGUGUUACUCUUCUUGAACAGAUUUUUGUGUGUUCGCUUGUCUAAUUCGGGAAGCCGAGGCGAGGGACAGCUGCUUUUCUUUUAUUUUUUGGCCAUCUGUUAAAAUCCACGAGUGGCAAGAGUUGAAGUGAGGGAAAAAUCUCAAUUGGGGGAGCCUGUGGUGAGCAAGGCCGCUCACGGGUUACUUGGGUAUGUGGCCGGAGUGUGGAGCCCCCCAACCUUAGGAGCAAGUCGCGUCCUUCUUGUCGGCCGUCACGUUCCAGUUGGACACGCGGAGCUGGGAGUAAAGAUUGGGGACAAAGCCUACUGACGCUUGGAGGCCUGAGCCUUUUAGUUAAAUUCAUAUUUAUUGUCACGUGUAAGUCAUCAUGGUGGGCACGUCAUUUGUUGGAUCGAGUGGCGGCACUUGGCGUCAUUUAACUCAGUUGUUCAAAUUUGUGUGCAGCUUACCAAAAUUCAGCUCUCUGCUCCACACACCCACGAGAAUGGUGGCACCCCUUAAAACGUCACCCAUUUUCUGGAAGUCGACUGGUAUGUUUGCUUUGUCGUUAGCAGCUAACUGGAAACCCUACUCUCUCGGAGGGGCUGGCUGGGUCUUUGGUACUCACAGUGGCCUCGAAGUCCACCUGUGGCUGCCAGUGUCAUCGAUGAGUCGAGGCCUGCUUGGCAUGCUGGUAUUUUUUCACUUGUACCUCUCGAGCAGCGCUGAUUGUGUUGGCCGAUGUUGGUGUUUAGGAAUUCCCUCUGGUGUGCUAAAUAUUUAUUUUUUCGUGACUGACACCACAAAUAGUUGCUUUCCAUUUGUUUGGACCCGUGUCUGCUCCACUCGUCACCGGCAGACAAGGGACAACAGAAUCAGUUUGAAUUAUCUAAAACGUAAAAAUCUGCGCACCUCCCACUCUGGGGCCUUUUCUUAAUAAGGAAUUGGAGCAAGGGGUGACCAGUGGGCUUCAAAAUGCAAACUCGCCUUUUGAGGAAAUGCUGUUGUGCCCUCCCGACUGACUUUAUAGACCCCCUAAUCCCCCAUUCCAGGCCUUGUGUUUUGGCCCCCGACAGCUUUUUGAACCGUCACGGCUUUCUCCUCUGAGUUGACCUGCUGGUCCGUGAGGAGGAUAAGGGCAGGUGUUUAAGCGACCCGUGUGCCCCUUGUGUCCCUUUUUUGAUUUUUCCGUUGGGUCUAAAUGCAGAGAUGAGUCUCGGACCCGAGAUUAACUCCCCGAGUCAUUGAAUCGUCUGUUCUUAAAUCUCAUUUUGUGUCACUUGCAUGCACACCUUCUUCAUUUGCCAUUCCCAUCUGAUCGGAUUCUUUUUGGCUCCCGUUCCAGUUCGGGUGUCUCCGACUUGUUCUUCCCCGGGGUUUUCUUCAUUUCUACCGGACUUCACUUUGCACAGUUGACUGAGACGUGUUACAGAGCAUUCUGGGAUAGCUCGGGUCGAGGCAGGAGCUUCUACAUGGUAGUGCGGCCAGUUUAUUGUAAGGGAGAGGUUGGCGGUGCUCUGCGUGCCAAAUUUGUUACAAGUUCCUGGGUGGAGGAGACGAGACCCCCGACUACAAACUCCUCUGAAGUGAAAGCCAGCAGCCACACGGUGGGGGGCCGGGGACUGCGUUUUGUUUUCAGAUUGGAAAGUCAGAGCUGAAAGUUGACAUCCGAGGGUGACUCCGACUUGUUUCUGCAGUGUGGUCUGUUGAAGGUUUAUUUGUAGUCAUUUUACAUGUUGGUGAGUCACAUCAGGCCGCUACAUUGAGACAGAGGUGGGUGGGCAGGUUUGCAGUGCGGUGCUAGCCCCCCCAGUUAUCUCCAUCAAAUACAUAUAUCACUCUCGGUUUAACCCCAUAUUGACUUUUACUCAGGGCUUGUGUACAAAAUCCCUGUGUGGUGCGGUUUGGUGACAUGUGGCUGUGUUGCACACCGGGCAGUCCGUUCCCUGGGGUAGGACGUGAGGUGGGCGUCCAGUAAAAAUGGGUAACGUGAGGUGGUGUUUUUGCAAAUCCAUUUGCCUGCCCAGUCGGUACUGAAAGGCCAGGCGGGGACUGGGAGCAGACUUGGAGAGUAGGCCUCCCCUUUAAACUCUCCCAUUUAUUUUUACUUGCCGUUCUUAACUUGGCCACGAGGUGGCGGCCUUGAGUUUGUGAGGGUCUCUGCUGU